GAUGAACGCUGGCGGCGUGCCUAAUACAUGCAAGUCGAGCGAACAGACGAGGAGCUUGCUCCUCUGACGUUAGCGGCGGACGGGUGAGUAACACGUGGAUAACCUACCUAUAAGACUGGGAUAACUUCGGGAAACCGGAGCUAAUACCGGAUAAUAUAUUGAACCGCAUGGUUCAAUAGUGAAAGACGGUUUUGCUGUCACUUAUAGAUGGAUCCGCGCCGCAUUAGCUAGUUGGUAAGGUAACGGCUUACCAAGGCAACGAUGCGUAGCCGACCUGAGAGGGUGAUCGGCCACACUGGAACUGAGACACGGUCCAGACUCCUACGGGAGGCAGCAGUAGGGAAUCUUCCGCAAUGGGCGAAAGCUUGACGGAGCAACGCCGCGUGAGUGAUGAAGGUCUUCGGAUCGUAAAACUAUGUUAUUAGGGAAGAACAAAUGUGUAAGUAACUAUGCACGUCUUGACGGUACCUAAUCAGAAAGCCACGGCUAACUACGUG
RNAcentral lists this ribosomal RNA (497 nucleotides) under uncultured bacterium. RNAcentral describes it as "partial 16S ribosomal RNA". It matches the Rfam family "Bacterial small subunit ribosomal RNA", at positions 28 to 507 of the family's 1533-position model. The record is from RNAcentral.